This 259-nucleotide unclassified non-coding RNA is filed under the name Hevea brasiliensis (rubber tree). Lineage: Eukaryota; Viridiplantae; Streptophyta; Magnoliopsida; Malpighiales; Euphorbiaceae. The record is from RNAcentral.
GCCAAGCUAGAGAAAAUGUGGAUAGUAAUUCUUUUGCACUGUCAAGCAUGGAGCAGCUUGAGCAAUUGGAGUCAUCUCUGACAUUUUGGGAGAGUAUUGUAAAUGAUGUCCAAACCAACAUUCAAAGCAAUUCAAUCUUAGAGUUGGAUGAAUCUACAAGCUGUGCUGAAAGCCCAGCCAUCUCUUGUGUACAAUUUAGUGUUGAUAUUCGGCCCAGGUCUCCUACUAUCGACAUGAAUUCUGAGCCUGCUGUAGCUUC